AUUUUUACAGACCACAGAGAGCUUCAGCUGACCUUCCUAAGACAACAAGACGCCUUAAACACAUCUGCGUUCUAACAGCUUUAUUAGGACCAGCAACUCACCAUCAUCAACUCCUGUGAAACUCACCUGGGUUUAAGAUGAAGAGGGGAGCACUCCUUUGCUGUUUCGCUCUGUGUCUGGUCAUGGUCAGAGGGUCCACCAUCAAGGCCCUGAAAAAUAU
Colossoma macropomum (tambaqui) is the source of this 220-nucleotide long non-coding RNA. RefSeq lists it as uncharacterized. NCBI's taxonomy places the organism in Eukaryota, Metazoa, Chordata, Actinopteri, Characiformes, Serrasalmidae. The transcript is spliced from 3 exons. The record is from RefSeq and is a predicted model, not a curated record.